GCAAGCACACAGAUCCUCUCUUCUCUCCAUGUAGUCACUACUUGGGGAAGGGGAAUGGGUGGUAUCAGCAAUUCAAGACUGAUUUCUUUUCCAUCUUCAGCGCCCCUUUCCUUGAUAUGAUGUUAAAACCAGAACAAGAAACAGAUCGAGGAAGAGGCAGAGUAACAACAGCCGGGAAGAAGAUACAGUUUUGUUAACAUUUAUGUUUUUAUAUAUUAUAUCAAAACUAGAAAAAGAGUUGACAUCCAGGAAAUAAAGAAGCAAGAAAAAAGUCAUUUUGUAGUGAGACUGUGCCCUAUACAUGAACCUAUUUGCCAGACCCAUCAAUGCCAUUAGACCUGUGAGAGGGGCUGUGACAGUGGAACCCGAAUGAAGACAGGAAAAGUCUGUAGAGGACUGAUGGUUAUGUUCACCAUUCAAAUUGCAAGAAAACCAAUAAGAAGUCAGUAAAGUGCAUUCAAAGAGAAAGGUGGGACUCGUGAAGCAGCAAUACUAAACUGAUACACAAAGGAUCCCCGUACUUCAUCAAAAUAUCAAUGUUGUCCAUGACACACAAAGAACCCAGCUGUAGUUUAAUUCAGCAUCACAGUCCCAACAUGUUUUAAAACAUGUUCCAGCUUUUGGUCCCAGGAUUAUUCAACCUAGCUCAUAAAAGAAAACAAUAUUGCAUUUCUAAGUAUUGGCUCCUAGAAUUGGCAAGUUUAGUCAAGAAAAGCUGGAAUGCCGUUAAAACAACACCCUGUCAUCUUUCAAUCAGUCCUUAGCUGAAGUUAAAAUCCCACUCAUUCUGCAUGAUCCAGCCUCUGUAGCAUAGAGUGAGUAGCCCCUUAACAAGAACCAAAAUGGAGGGUACGGAUGAGGCUCAGAUCGUCACCACCUGGAGAAUAGAGACAGUGACUGAGUCACCAGGAAAUCUGUCCCCUGCUCAUCCCAGAAUCCCCGAGCUUUGACUUUUUAAGAGAACAUGUGACAGAUAAUGCCAUCUGAGAAGCUUAGGCAACUCAGUCAUCAAUGUGUCCUCGAGAAGAGCAUAUCCCCAAAUUGGAAAAUAAUCCUUCAGGGCAUCUGAACAUAACCACAUUUGGCUUACUUUGUGAAGCAGUUGUCUGAAUAGAAUAAGACUGGCUUGGAACGAGAUUCACAGAGCAACCAAAUAAAGAUGAUUGAGUGAAUGGCUAAAGAAAUAAAUAUGUUCGAAUCUGUACCCAUCUCAUGUCUUUCCUGAUGAUUGCCUCCUUUACUGUAUGUUUUCCACUGAGAUGAAGAUUUUGGUCAUUUCCUCAUUCAUGUUCCUGCUUUUCAAAACCCAAGCAAGAAAGGAAACUUCUACAGUGACUUUCUCAUUAUGAAAUCUUAGCAUUCACUAGUCGGCCAUAAUGGAAAACCAGCCAAAUGGACACAUAUACACUGGUCUGUACCCGCAGAGAAAGAAAUGCAAAUCUCUGUGAUCAGAAAACUAUCCUAUCUUGUACAUUGUUAAAAGUCUGCCUCCAAAAAGUUUACUUCUGGAAUACUGUAAUUGAAUAGAAUCAGGGAUCCUACCUGUGUCCUUCAACUUUCACAUCUUGUCUACUCAAGUAAGGGUUGAAUUUGCAUGACUAUAUCUAAGGUUCGAGGGCUUACCUGUUGGCAGUAGACCCAGUAGUCUAUGAAUGGAAAUGGGCAAACCUGUGACCUCCCAAAACUUUAAUAUGAAAGUUUUGUUUGUGUAUACUCAUGGCAUUAUUCUUUUAAUAAAGAGAUAAUCUAUAUAGUUUUCUUUUUUAAAA
Molecule: long non-coding RNA, 1769 nt
Filed under: Homo sapiens (human)
Lineage: Eukaryota; Metazoa; Chordata; Mammalia; Primates; Hominidae
Description: HSALNT0316286
Source: RNAcentral